GCCUUCGUGGUGUAACGGUAGCACACUCGGCUCGUUUUCUAGAGGUCCAGGUUCGAGUCCCGGCGAGGGCA
This 71-nucleotide transfer RNA is filed under the name Stegodyphus mimosarum. It matches the Rfam family "tRNA". Rfam says of the family: Transfer RNA (tRNA) molecules are approximately 80 nucleotides in length. Their secondary structure includes four short double-helical elements and three loops (D, anti-codon, and T loops). Lineage: Eukaryota; Metazoa; Arthropoda; Arachnida; Araneae; Eresidae. The record is from Rfam by way of RNAcentral.